GGAGGUAUAACUCAGUGGUAGAAUGUGUGCCUCACAUGCAUGAGGUCCUGGGUUCAAGCCCCAGUAUUUCCA
Molecule: transfer RNA, 72 nt
Filed under: Camelus bactrianus (Bactrian camel)
Lineage: Eukaryota; Metazoa; Chordata; Mammalia; Artiodactyla; Camelidae
Also listed under: 2 other names
Rfam family: tRNA
About the family: Transfer RNA (tRNA) molecules are approximately 80 nucleotides in length. Their secondary structure includes four short double-helical elements and three loops (D, anti-codon, and T loops). Further hydrogen bonds mediate the characteristic L-shaped molecular structure. tRNAs have two regions of fundamental functional importance: the anti-codon, which is responsible for specific mRNA codon recognition, and the 3' end, to which the tRNAs corresponding amino acid is attached (by aminoacyl-tRNA synthetases). tRNAs cope with the degeneracy of the genetic code in two manners: having more than one tRNA (with a specific anti-codon) for a particular amino acid; and 'wobble' base-pairing, i.e. permitting non-standard base-pairing at the 3rd anti-codon position.
Source: Rfam by way of RNAcentral